Molecule: ribosomal RNA, 496 nt
Filed under: uncultured bacterium
Lineage: Bacteria
Description: partial 16S ribosomal RNA
Rfam family: Bacterial small subunit ribosomal RNA
Source: RNAcentral
GAUGAACGCUGGCGGCGUGCCUAAUACAUGCAAGUCGAGCGAACAGACGAGGAGCUUGCUCCUUUGACGUUAGCGGCGGACGGGUGAGUAACACGUAGGUAACCUACCUAUAAGACUGGGAUAACUUCGGGAAACCGGAGCUAAUACCGGAUAAUAUUUCGAACCGCAUGGUUCGAUAGUGAAAGAUGGCUUUGCUAUCACUUAUAGAUGGACCUGCGCCGUAUUAGCUAGUUGGUAAGGUAACGGCUUACCAAGGCAACGAUACGUAGCCGACCUGAGAGGGUGAUGGGCCAACUUGGAAUUGAAACCGGGCCCAGACCCCUAGGGGGGGCAGAAGGGGGGAAUUUUCCGCAAGGGGGGAAACCCUGCGGGAGCAACGCCGGGGGGGUGAUGAAGGUUUUCGGAUGGAAAAACCCUUUUUUUAGGGAAAAAAAAACGUGAAAGUAACUGUGCCCGUUUUGACGGUACCAAAACAAAAAGCCCCGGCUAACUACGG